Molecule: ribosomal RNA, 490 nt
Filed under: uncultured bacterium
Lineage: Bacteria
Description: partial 16S ribosomal RNA
Rfam family: Bacterial small subunit ribosomal RNA
Source: RNAcentral
AGGGAAAGCGGGGGGCAGGCCUAACACAUGCAAGUCGAACGGUAACAGGAAGCAGCUUGCUGCUUUGCUGACGAGUGGCGGACGGGUGAGUAAUGUCUGGGAAACUGCCUGAUGGAGGGGGAUAACUACUGGAAACGGUAGCUAAUACCGCAUAACGUCGCAAGACCAAAGAGGGGGACCUUCGGGCCUCUUGCCAUCGGAUGUGCCCAGAUGGGAUUAGCUAGUAGGUGGGGUAACGGCUCACCUAGGCGACGAUCCCUAGCUGGUCUGAGAGGAUGACCAGCCACACUGGAACUGAGACACGGUCCAGACUCCUACGGGAGGCAGCAGUGGGGAAUAUUGCACAAUGGGCGCAAGCCUGAUGCAGCCAUGCCGCGUGUAUGAAGAAGGCCUUCGGGUUGUAAAGUACUUUCAGCGGGGAGGAAGGGAGUAAAGUUAAUACCUUUGCUCAUUGACGUUACCCGCAGAAGAAGCACCGGCUAACUCCGUG